CUCUGGGGGGGGCCUCCCUGCGGCGCCUGGGCGGGGUGCUCGGCCGCAGGAGAGCCCCUGGGCCCGCCUCGGUGCGGGGCCUCUGGGGAGCGGGGGCUCGCCACCGCCCUCCCGUUCUGUUCGCCCCAGCGGCAGCUCCAUGGGGGGAGUUGAGCAAUAUUUCGGGUUGCCAGUCUUGGUUGGAUCUGUUCUUGGAGGUGUUUUCAUGCGAGAAAUAUUCCAGAAGACUUCAGGCGGAGGGGAAACUUCAGCCCAAAGGGUUACAUUUUGAUUAUCUCAGUUGGGUUCUCCCUAUACUUCCAUGCAAAACAUAACAUGGAACUCUGAUAGCAAAAGCUAAAAAAUUGAUUGUGCAGAGAAGAGAAAUGCACAGUCCAACCCUGCAAAAAGUGUGUGACUGAAGUUUGAGAAAGUGGGAAUGGUUAAAAAAAAACAACCUCAUUUCUGCAUCACCAGGACAAAAUGAAGUGUUCCCAUUUAAAUAUUUGAUGUAUCUAUUGAAAAAGAAUACCUACUUAUUUCUAUAACCUGUAUCCUCCUUCACCUUUCUGCUGUAUGUUAGAUUAAUGUCAAGUCCGGCAUUUGGACUGUAAACUUUUUGGGGGUAGAAAGCUGUCUUCUGUGUGUUUUCCCACUUAACCCAUCUGUGGACACUAUGAAAUAUCAUCUCCACAGCUGUAGGGAGGAGAAGAAAGAAGUCAUGGAACUCUUUGUUCUAAAGUAUUCACUAAUUUAGAGAGUGAAAAAUUCUCUUUUGGAAUAUGAUUAACAAACAAUUGCACAAAUUCUCAGUUUGCAUUUCAGCCCAAUGCUGAGGAUUGGCACAAGGCCCUACUUAUGGGCUGUGCAGUGCAAGGGGGGCUGCCUACAUGCCAUGAGAAAAGACUUCCCCCCCGCCCUCCAGAAGAUCACACCAGGGAGUAGGGCAAGGGAGGGACAGUGGAUCUUCAUUUAUGCUUGUAUAGUGAUGCCAGUACUCUAAAUAGUGCAGAAGGGCAGCUGGAAAACCAGCCAUUAGGGGAAGGUGGGGGAUCUAAGUGGCUGCUGAAAGUAACCAACACAAUGGAUGAAAUUCAUUCUACUUAUAUAAAGCUUCAGUAUUGGGCCUCUAAGGUCUGACACUGCACCAGCAAAGUUAACAGUUUUGACAUGGACUUCAAUGGUGCACAAUCACUCUCUUAGAAUCCAACUCCAAAUUUUAUACAGGGAGAAUGAAUUUCAUGUACUAUGCUGGUUAGUUUCAUAAAUCAUUUGGCAUUGUUUCUGUUCCCUGAUUAGUUACAAAAGACACCCAGCCAUCCAAGUGAAAGUCAUGAAUGUUGUACUUGAAUCUUUACUGAAGAAGUUUUUAAUUGUAUAUUCAAGCAUUCAGUGUUAACUCACUUUUCUUGAUCAUUUCUGUUAAAGCGUGAGAGGUUGAAUGUUUAGAGAAAGCAAACCCAAAGGGGUUACAACUAUAGUCAAAUUGAAAUUUGCCUUUGGAAUUCAAAUGGCUAUUUGUAUACAAUUUUUUCCAUUAUUUAACAUGGUUAUUUUCUCGUGAUGAGCAUAUUGUUUGUUUUGACGUGAAUAAGCGGUAAAUGAAGAUUAAAAAUAAAAUAUAA
Molecule: long non-coding RNA, 1604 nt
Organism: Chelonoidis abingdonii (Abingdon island giant tortoise)
Lineage: Eukaryota; Metazoa; Chordata; Testudines; Testudinidae
Source: RefSeq, a predicted model, not a curated record